AAGACUAGCCAUACAACUACAGCAUUGAGAUAAUCAUUAACGAUCGAAUAGAAAUUUAUAUGAUCUCUCGUAUGGUCACGCUCAGUAUAAGUUGUUCUCUAACAAUUAUCUGCACUUUUCACUCAGUGUCUUUACACUGUAGACUAAAGACUCAUCUAUCCCAAAGGAAGCGAACUAUAUGCCGAUCUAUCUGGAUGGAUCACCGUCUCUAUGACUAUCCU
This 221-nucleotide long non-coding RNA is filed under the name Elaeis guineensis (African oil palm). RNAcentral's name for it is "long non-coding RNA (EGUI_LNC040817)". Lineage: Eukaryota; Viridiplantae; Streptophyta; Magnoliopsida; Arecales; Arecaceae. The record is from RNAcentral.